This 253-nucleotide ribosomal RNA is filed under the name uncultured bacterium. Its description in RNAcentral is "partial 16S ribosomal RNA". It matches the Rfam family "Bacterial small subunit ribosomal RNA", at positions 524 to 776 of the family's 1533-position model. The record is from RNAcentral.
GACAGAGGGUGCAAACGUUGUUCGGAAUUACUGGGCGUAAAGCGCGUGUAGGCGGCUUGGCAAGUCGGGUGUGAAAGCCCUGGGCUCAACCUAGGAAGUGCACUCGAAACUGCUUCGCUUGAGUACCGGAGAGGAAAGCGGAAUUCUCGGUGUAGAGGUGAAAUUCGUAGAUAUCGAGAGGAACACCGGUGGCGAAGGCGGCUUUCUGGACGGUUACUGACGCUGAGACGCGAAAGCGUGGGGAGCAAACAGG